GACGAACGCUGGCGGCGUGCUUAACACAUGCAAGUCGAACGGAAAGGCCCUGCUUUUGUGGGGUGCUCGAGUGGCGAACGGGUGAGUAACACGUGAGUAACCUGCCCUUGACUUUUGGAUAACUUCAGGAAACUGGGGCUAAUACCGGAUAGGAGCUCCUGCUGCAUGGUGGGGGUUGGAAAGUUUCGGCGGUUGGGGAUGGACUCUCGGCUUAUCAGCUUGUUGGUGGGGUAGUGGCUUACCAAGGCUUUGACGGGUAGCCGGCCUGAGAGGGUGACCGGCCACAUUGGGACUGAGAUACGGCCCAGACGCCUACGGGAGGCAGCAGUCGGGAAUAUUUCGCAAUGGGCGGAAGCCUGAUGCAGCAACGCCGCGUGCGGGAUAUCGGCCUUCGGGUUGUGAACCGCUUUCGCCUGUGACGAAGCGUGAGUGACGGUAAUGGGUAAAGAAGCACCGGCUAACUACGUG
RNAcentral lists this ribosomal RNA (468 nucleotides) under uncultured bacterium. RNAcentral describes it as "partial 16S ribosomal RNA". It matches the Rfam family "Bacterial small subunit ribosomal RNA", at positions 28 to 507 of the family's 1533-position model. The record is from RNAcentral.